Cicer arietinum (chickpea) is the source of this 1301-nucleotide RNA transcript. RefSeq lists it as uncharacterized. NCBI's taxonomy places the organism in Eukaryota, Viridiplantae, Streptophyta, Magnoliopsida, Fabales, Fabaceae. The record is from RefSeq and is a predicted model, not a curated record.
GGCACAGUGGACAACAUCUAAAGAUGCUCUUACUUAGGUUUAUGUGAAUUUGAAUGAAUUGCGAUUCCUUCGAUCCUUCUUGCCCAAUGUCCAUGGAUUCACUCUUGCUCGCCGUCACCCAACCACCCCCUGAAAUCUGCGAUGACAAGCGGCUGAAAUCGGUACCGGAUAAGCUAUCGGAACUGGUACUGGAACCAUAUAUUGCAUCGGUACCGGAUAAGCGGCUGAACCGGAACCGAAACCGAAACCGGAACCGAAAUUGGGACCACAAUUUGAUACGGAAUUGGAACAGGAAUCGGAAUCGGAACCGGAAUUGGACCCGAGAUCGGAUUGAGAGUUAAUACCAAUUGAAAAGCUGACGGUGAAUGAUUUGGCUAGCCGUUAUGACGAUGACCCUUCUCUUUUUUGUUUUGGAUGUCCGCAAUUUGUGUAUAAGAAUAAAGCCUAUCUUAAAAGUGAGGAGGAGAUAGCCAAAGUCCGGGCUGAGUAUUUUAAGCUCUCUCGUAGCAUAUCUCCCUUCGAUGCUAUUCCUGUUCCACCCUUAGCAAUUGCAUGUGGCAGUAACUUUACCCGUCCCCAACGUCGCCCUCUUCUUACUUACCUCUCCAAUCGUGCUCUGAAAAAGUUUAAUGCUAAGAAUAAGGGUUCAAAUUAUGUGUUUGAUGAACUUGUCAAGGCAACCUCUCGGCAAAUUCCUUGUGUUACAUAUUACAUUACCUUUAAAGCAAAAGAUGAUGCCCAUCCUCAUACUUCCGACAGCCCUGCGACAACUUUCCAGGCCCACGUCUGGAGGAAGCUGUCUAGAAAGUCUAUGGUCAAGUCGUGUUCCAUUAAAACCUAACACCCACACCAUGGUACAUGGCUAACUACAUACAUAACACAGGUUACUAGCUCUACCUUCAACGAGUCACAACUCACAAUACAGGAAAUCAUGUCCAUUGCAUUGCAUCUACACGUUGUGAAACUGGUUUUGGUUGCGUUAGACUGACAUGUCGAGGUGAAAGCGUGGACAGACUUCCGGGUGUAUUUUAAUUUGUUGGUGUAGCAGUGGUUUAUCAUGUUUCUUAUUUAAUUUUCAUUUGUAAGUUUCUUUCCAGGAGGGAAGCAUUAUCAGUUUUAUGAAAACAAUAAAUUUUAGUAAGUCAGCAAGUAUACUUUUAAUUUUUUGUACCAAAAAGCUAAAAAACCUACCACUUAAUUGGUAAAUCCAUUUAUCUUGUUUUGUCAUUUUUAGUCUCUGAAUAACCAUAGCGAGAGCUUUGUAAGCAAUAAAAACUAUUCAGACAAAAUUAAUAAAUAAA